This is a long non-coding RNA of Bufo gargarizans (Asiatic toad), 1417 nucleotides long. RefSeq lists it as uncharacterized. NCBI's taxonomy places the organism in Eukaryota, Metazoa, Chordata, Amphibia, Anura, Bufonidae. The record is from RefSeq and is a predicted model, not a curated record. The transcript is spliced from 3 exons.
AGGCCAAAUAGGACGAUAUUAAAAGCCCCAACUGAACUUGUACUCUCUUUUAAUACCUUCCAUGUUCAGUACUAGCACUCGUGCAAAGUCCUCAACUGAGUAGAAGGUUCCAUGAAAGCAAAUAAAGUAGAGGACAACUCUUUGCAAGGAAUGGGGAUCCGCAAACAUAUUUUUAUAGGGGCCAAUAUUUUUUUGUGCAAAGCAGUUAAUUUCUCAUUAGACCUCAUGCACACAACCGUAUAUGGGAUCUUUUCCCUUUCAUUUCUCUGGGGUCUGCAAAUUAUGGAGCUUGUCCUAUUCUUGGCCACAAAAUGUGGUCCCUGACCCUAUUCAAGUCAAUGGAUCUACAAAAAACACAGAUGGCAAUCGGCAUCCCUGUGAGCUAUUUGAAAACUGGGCAGACAAGCCUUAGAAGAGUCAUUAUCUGCACUGUGAGGCCUUGCUCCUCUAUUUGUCCAAAAAUGCCAUGUGUGGACCUUGACAAGUUUAUUAAAUUGGUCCAGGAGAGGGCCGAAUUGUGGGACAUGCGCUGUGACCGGUACCAUGAUCGUGUCUGAAAUUAUACAACAUUGGAGGUGGCACAGGAAUGGUUGCUGUUGCAAUGGGAGAAAUCGAGCCAGGCUCAGUGUCAAAGAAUGGUAAAAGACGUCAAGACCUGUUAUGCUGGGAAUUGACAGAUCAUUCCCUGAAGAAGAGACCAUAUAUGUAUACUCAACAGCUCCAGUUUCUAAGACAUUUUUUUUUUUUAACUCCCAUAUCAAACUGAAAGUAUCAGAUUGGUUGCUAUAGCACUGUUCACGCUCACCUGGUGGAGGAUGUGGAGGAAGACACUGACAAUGAAACACAAAUUGAUGUGCCAGUUAUUACAUAGUCUCUAGCUGCCAGCUCCAGGAUGUCCCAGCCUGCUUCACCUGAAGACCAGCUUGCAGGACCCACACUGCAGCCAGCAGUACCCAGACUGAAGGCUACUCACAUCUCCCAAGCACGAUGAAUAUUGGGGCACCCUCAGCCUGUUUCUGAUACAGGUACUUGGGCCCUGAUUGAUGCUCAGGUGGUCAAGUACCUCAACAGAAACAGGGGUGGGGGUCACGAGGAGACUUUACUGAUGAGCCCUGCCUCCUACAUUCUUUGUGUGGCAUUAGAAUGCCAUUUGCAGUGUAUUGGCCUCAUCACUGCGGUCAUAGAUAUGUAUUUUGGACCUCAGAAGCAGUGGAGAUUCAGCAAUUCGUUGAGCGUGCAAGGAUGAGAAUUAUAUACCAACCAUCUGCAAGCCACUGUAUUCAAGGCCCAGGUCCUCCUGCUCCCAGAGUCCACUACUCCAUAUUACCUCUGUUCUACCAGGAUAGGGAACAUUUUACCCCACUUCAUAGGGCACCUUUCCAUGGAGUUUACUCCACUAGUGGAGGAGAACAUGCAG